UACGGAGGGUGCAAGCGUUGUUCGGAAUUAUUGGGCGUAAAGGGCGCGUAGGUGGCUCUGUAAGUCAGGGGUGAAAUGCUGCGGCUCAACCGCAGCGCUGCCCUUGAGACUGCAAGGCUUGAGCACGGUAGAGGCCGAUGGAAUUCCCGGUGUAGCGGUGGAAUGCGUAGAGAUCGGGAAGAACACCGAUGGCGAAGGCAGUCGGCUGGGCCGUUGCUGACACUGAGGCACGAAAGCGUGGGUAGCAAACGGG
This 253-nucleotide ribosomal RNA is filed under the name uncultured bacterium. Its description in RNAcentral is "partial 16S ribosomal RNA". It matches the Rfam family "Bacterial small subunit ribosomal RNA", at positions 524 to 776 of the family's 1533-position model. The record is from RNAcentral.